This 460-nucleotide ribosomal RNA is filed under the name uncultured bacterium. RNAcentral describes it as "partial 16S ribosomal RNA". It matches the Rfam family "Bacterial small subunit ribosomal RNA", at positions 338 to 795 of the family's 1533-position model. The record is from RNAcentral.
CCUACGGGAGGCAGCAGUGAGGAAUAUUGGUCAAUGGACGAGAGUCUGAACCAGCCAAGUAGCGUGAAGGAUGAAUGCCCUAUGGGUUGUAAACUUCUUUUAUAAAGGAAUAAAACGAGGCACGUGUGCCUUUUUGCAUGUACUUUAUGAAUAAGGAUCGGCUAACUCCGUGCCAGCAGCCGCGGUAAUACGGAGGAUCCGAGCGUUAUCCGGAUUUAUUUGGUUUAAAGGGAGCGUAGAUGGGUUGUUAAGUCAGUUGUGAAAGUUUGCGGCUCAACCGUAAAAUUGCAAUUGAUACUGGCAGUCUUGAGUACAGUUGAGGUGAGCGGAAUUCGUGGUGUAGCGGUGAAAUGCUUAGAUAUCACGAAGAACCCCGAUUGCGAAGGCAGCUUACUAAACUGUGACUGACAUUGAUGCUCGAAAGUGUGGGUAUCAAACAGGAUUAGAUACCCCUGUAGUC